Molecule: ribosomal RNA, 477 nt
Filed under: uncultured bacterium
Lineage: Bacteria
Description: partial 16S ribosomal RNA
Rfam family: Bacterial small subunit ribosomal RNA
Source: RNAcentral
GACGAACGCUGGCGGCGUGCUUAACACAUUCAAGUCGAACGGUAAGGCCCUUCGGGGUACUCGAUCGGCUAACGGGUGAUUAACACGUGAGUAAUCGGCCCUGCACUUCCGGAUAACUGCUGGCAACGGCGGCUAAUACCGGAUAAGACCAUUUGCCUCAUGGCGUGCGGGCGAAAGUUUUUCGGUGAGGGAUGUGCUCGCGGUCUAUCAGCUUGUUGGUGAGGUAGUGGCUCACCAAGGCUUCGACGGGUAGCCGGCCUGAGAGGGUGACCGGCCACACUGGGACUGAGAAACGGCCCAGACUCCUACGGGAGGCAGCAGUGGGGAAUAUUGGACAAUGGGCGGAAGCCUGAUCCAGCAACGCCGCGUGAGGGAUGACGGCCUUCGGGUUGUAAACCUCUUUCAGCACCGACGAAGCGAAAGUGACGGUAGGUGCAGAAGAAGGACCGGCCAACUACGUGCCAGCCGCCGCAGUAA